This 506-nucleotide long non-coding RNA is filed under the name Lonchura striata (white-rumped munia). Its description in RNAcentral is "domestica (Bengalese finch) lncRNA (ENSLSDG00000011264.1)". Lineage: Eukaryota; Metazoa; Chordata; Aves; Passeriformes; Estrildidae. The record is from RNAcentral.
UCCGUGGUCAGCUCUGGGGACAGAGAGAGGGACAGGGGUCAGUGUGGUCAGUGUGGUCAGUGGUCAGUGUGGUCAGUGUGGGCAGUGGUCAGUGUGGUCAGUGUGGGCAGUGGUCAGUGGGAUCAGUGGUCAGUGUGGUCAGUGUGGCAGCAGCGCCAGCUCCGUGGUCAGCUCUGGGGAGAGAACCAGGGGUCAGUGUGGUCAGUGUGGUCAGUGUGGUCAGUGGUCAGUGGGGUCAGUGGUCAGUGUGGUCAGUGGUCAGUGGGGUCAGUGUUGUGGUCAGUGGGGUCAGUGGUCAGUGUGGUCAGUGGUCAGUGGGGUCAGUGGGGGGGUCAGUGUGGUGGUCAGUGUUGUGGUCAGUGUGGUGGUCAGUGGGGGGUCAGUGGGGUCAGCUCUGGGGACACCGAGUGACCCCGGGGGUCACUGGGGACAGGCUCCGUGGUCAGUUCCGGCCGGGUCACUGGUCACCGAGAGCCCCCCCAAUUCCGGACCCCUCCCCAAUUCCG